This 437-nucleotide ribosomal RNA is filed under the name uncultured Actinomycetales bacterium. RNAcentral's name for it is "bacterial SSU rRNA". It matches the Rfam family "Bacterial small subunit ribosomal RNA", at positions 342 to 791 of the family's 1533-position model. The record is from RNAcentral. Lineage: Bacteria; Bacillati; Actinomycetota; Actinomycetes; Actinomycetales.
CGGGGGGCAGCAGUGGGGAAUAUUGCGCAAUGGACGAAAGUCUGACGCAGCGACGCCGCGUGAGGGAUGAAGGUCUUCGGAUUGUAAACCUCUUUCAGCAGGGACGAAGCGAAAGUGACGGUACCUGCAGAAGAAGCACCGGCUAACUACGUGCCAGCAGCCGCGGUAAUACGUAGGGUGCAAGCGUUGUCCGGAUUUAUUGGGCGUAAAGAGCUCGUAGGCGGUUUGACACGUCGGAUGUGAAAACUCGGAGCUUAACUCCGAGCCUGCAUUCGAUACGGUCUAACUAGAGUGUGGUAGGGGAAACUGGAAUUCCUGGUGUAGCGGUGAAAUGCGCAGAUAUCAGGAGGAACACCAAUGGCGAAGGCAGGUUUCUGGGCCACCACUGACGCUGAGGAGCGAAAGCGUGGGGAGCGAACAGGAUUAGAUACCCGAGU